This 425-nucleotide ribosomal RNA is filed under the name uncultured bacterium. RNAcentral describes it as "partial 16S ribosomal RNA". It matches the Rfam family "Bacterial small subunit ribosomal RNA", at positions 354 to 796 of the family's 1533-position model. The record is from RNAcentral.
GUGGGGAAUCUUGCGCAAUGGGCGAAAGCCUGACGCAGCCAUGCCGCGUGAAUGAUGAAGGUCUUAGGAUUGUAAAAUUCUUUCACCGGGGACGAUAAUGACGGUACCCGGAGAAGAAGCUCCGGCUAACUUCGUGCCAGCAGCCGCGGUAAUACGAAGGGGGCUAGCGUUGCGCGGAAUUACUGGGCGUAAAGGGCGCGUAGGCGGACAGCUUAGUCAGAGGUGAAAGCCCAGGGCUCAACCUUGGAAUUGCCUUUGAGACUGGCUGUCUUGAGUUUGGGAGAGGUGAGUGGAACUCCGAGUGUAGAGGUGAAAUUCGUAGAUAUUCGGAAGAACACCAGUGGCGAAGGCGACUCACUGGCCCAAUACUGACGCUGAGGCGCGAAAGCGUGGGGAGCAAACAGGAUUAGAUACCCGGGUAGUCC